RNAcentral lists this ribosomal RNA (253 nucleotides) under Blautia luti. Its description in RNAcentral is "partial 16S ribosomal RNA". It matches the Rfam family "Bacterial small subunit ribosomal RNA", at positions 524 to 776 of the family's 1533-position model. The record is from RNAcentral. Lineage: Bacteria; Bacillati; Bacillota; Clostridia; Lachnospirales; Lachnospiraceae.
UACGUAGUGGGCAAGCGUUAUCCGGAUUUACUGGGUGUAAAGGGAGCGUAGACGGAUGGACAAGUCUGAUGUGAAAGACUGGGGCUCAACCCCGGGACUGCAUUGGAAACUGCCCGUCUUGAGUGCCGGAGAGGUAAGCGGAAUUCCUAGUGUAGCGGUGAAAUGCGUAGAUAUUAGGAGGAACACCAGUGGCGAAGGCGGCUUACUGGACGGUAACUGACGUUGAGGCUCGAAAGCGUGGGGAGCAAACAGG